GUGCUUACUUUGGCAGCACAUAAACUAAAAUGGAAAUGAUACAAAGAAGAUUAGCAUGGCCGCUGUGCUAGGAUGAUAUGCAAAUUUGUGAAGCAUUCCAUAUUAUU
This 107-nucleotide small nuclear RNA is filed under the name Aotus nancymaae (Ma's night monkey). The record is from RNAcentral. Lineage: Eukaryota; Metazoa; Chordata; Mammalia; Primates; Aotidae.